GAUGAACGCUGGCGGCGUGCCUAAUACAUGCAAGUCGAGCGAACGGACGAGAAGCUUGCUUCUCUGAUGUUAGCGGCGGACGGGUGAGUAACACGUGGAUAACCUACCUAUAAGACUGGGAUAACUUCGGGAAACCGGAGCUAAUACCGGAUAAUAUUUUGAACCGCAUGGUUCAAAAGUGAAAGACGGUCUUGCUGUCACUUAUAGAUGGAUCCGCGCUGCAUUAGCUAGUUGGUAAGGUAACGGCUUACCAAGGCAACGAUGCAUAGCCGACCUGAGAGGGUGAUCGGCCACACUGGAACUGAGACACGGUCCAGACUCCUACGGGAGGCAGCAGUAGGGAAUCUUCCGCAAAGGGCGAAAGCCUGACGGAGCAACGCCGCGCGAGUGAUGAAGGUCUUCGGAUCGUAAAACUCUGUUAUUAGGGAAGAACAUAUGUGUAAGUAACUGUGCACAUCUUGACGGUACCUAGUCAGAAAGCCACGGCUAACUACGUG
This 497-nucleotide ribosomal RNA is filed under the name uncultured bacterium. Its description in RNAcentral is "partial 16S ribosomal RNA". It matches the Rfam family "Bacterial small subunit ribosomal RNA", at positions 28 to 507 of the family's 1533-position model. The record is from RNAcentral.